UACGAGGGGAGCAAGCGUUGUUCGGAUUUACUGGGCGUAAAGGGCGCGUAGGCGGCGUGACAAGUCACUUGUGAAAUCUCCGGGCUUAACUCGGAACGGUCAAGUGAUACUGUCGGACUAGAGUACAGAAGGGGCAACUGGAAUUCUCGGUGUAGCGGUGAAAUGCGUAGAUAUCAGGAGGAAUACCGGUGGCGAAAGCGACUCUCUGGACGGCAACUGACGCUGAGGCACGAAAGCGUGGGGAGCAAACAGG
RNAcentral lists this ribosomal RNA (253 nucleotides) under uncultured bacterium. RNAcentral's name for it is "partial 16S ribosomal RNA". It matches the Rfam family "Bacterial small subunit ribosomal RNA", at positions 524 to 776 of the family's 1533-position model. The record is from RNAcentral.